UACGUAGGGAGCGAGCGUUAUCCGGAUUCAUUGGGCGUAAAGCGCGCGUAGGCGGUUGUAUAAGCGGAACCUCUAAUCUUGGGGCCCAACCCUUAAGCCGGGUUCCGAACUGUACGACUCGAGUGUGGUAGGGGUAGAUGGAAUUCCCGGUGUAGCGGUGAAAUGCGCAGAUAUCGGGAAGAACACCGAUGGCGAAGGCAGUCUACUGGGCCAUCACUGACGCUGAGGUGCGAAAGCGUGGGGAG
RNAcentral lists this ribosomal RNA (245 nucleotides) under uncultured Parvibacter sp. RNAcentral describes it as "partial 16S ribosomal RNA". It matches the Rfam family "Bacterial small subunit ribosomal RNA", at positions 524 to 768 of the family's 1533-position model. Lineage: Bacteria; Bacillati; Actinomycetota; Coriobacteriia; Coriobacteriales; Coriobacteriaceae. The record is from RNAcentral.